This 398-nucleotide ribosomal RNA is filed under the name uncultured bacterium. RNAcentral's name for it is "bacterial SSU rRNA". It matches the Rfam family "Bacterial small subunit ribosomal RNA", at positions 975 to 1375 of the family's 1533-position model. The record is from RNAcentral.
CAGGGUUUGACAUCCUGCGACCGCUCCGUAAUGGGAGUUUUCCCGCAAGGGACGCAGAGACAGGUGCUGCAUGGCUGUCGUCAGCUCGUGUCGUGAGAUGUUGGGUUAAGUCCCGCAACGAGCGCAACCCUCGCCUUUAGUUGCCAUCAUUCAGUUGGGCACUCUAGAGGGACCGCCGGCGACAAGCCGGAGGAAGGUGGGGAUGACGUCAAGUCCUCAUGGCCCUUACACCCUGGGCUACACACGUGCUACAAUGGCGGUGACAGUGGGCAGCUACUUCGCGAGAAGCGGCUAAUCCCAAAAAACCGUCCCAGUUCAGAUUGCACUCUGCAACUCGAGUGCAUGAAGGUGGAAUCGCUAGUAAUCGCAGAACAGCAGGCUGCGGUGAAUACGUUCCC